GUGAGAAACCAAGCUCUGUAAGGAUCUUGGAGAUCCUGGAUUCUAGCUGUAAAGGGCAUCACCUUUCCAAAAGUUCAUCCACAACACUUUUCCCAAAGGGAUUGUCAAUCAAGGAGUGUCAACUAUCCGCAGUCUCUCAACUCAUCUGAGGGUAUUAACAAUGGCUACAGACCAUUUCUAGCCCUCCUUCUGCCCCAGGUUCCUUCCAUCCCCCUGCCCUGAAUACUCCAGCACAGCCAUGACUGAGACCAGGGAAAGCAGUCUCCCUGCAGGUGGAGACCAACGAAACCCAGAACAGGAAGAGGUGAGAGAACAAGGGUGCUACACCCUUCCCUAGCCUCCCCUGCUCUCCUACCAGCAGACAAAAACUUAAAGGAUACAGGAGGAGCUUCAGGAAACUGUGAGCAGUGAACCUCUGAACCACAGAGUAGUGAAGAGGAUGAUAACAAGAACCAACCUUUACUGAGUGCUCCUUCUAGAUGAGACAGCAC
This is a non-coding RNA of Kogia breviceps (pygmy sperm whale), 491 nucleotides long. Lineage: Eukaryota; Metazoa; Chordata; Mammalia; Artiodactyla; Physeteridae. The record is from RefSeq and is a predicted model, not a curated record.